CGGACGGGUGAGUAACGCGUGGGAAUAUACCUUUUGGUGGGGGACAACAGUUGGAAACGACUGCUAAUACCGCAUACGCCCUACGGGGGAAAGCGGGGGCCUUCGGGCCUCGUGCUAUUGGAUGAGCCUGCGUCGGAUUAGCUAGUUGGUAGGGUAAAGGCCUACCAAGGCGACGAUCCGUAGCUGGUCUGAGAGGAUGAUCAGCCACACUGGGACUGAGACACGGCCCAGACUCC
RNAcentral lists this ribosomal RNA (236 nucleotides) under uncultured bacterium. RNAcentral describes it as "partial 16S ribosomal RNA". It matches the Rfam family "Bacterial small subunit ribosomal RNA", at positions 99 to 339 of the family's 1533-position model. The record is from RNAcentral.